This 204-nucleotide ribosomal RNA is filed under the name Enterococcus cecorum. RNAcentral describes it as "partial 16S ribosomal RNA". It matches the Rfam family "Bacterial small subunit ribosomal RNA", at positions 85 to 284 of the family's 1533-position model. The record is from RNAcentral. Lineage: Bacteria; Bacillati; Bacillota; Bacilli; Lactobacillales; Enterococcaceae.
AAGAAAAUGAGUGGCGAACGGGUGAGUAACACGUGGGUAACCUGCCCAUCAGCGGGGGAUAACACUUGGAAACAGGUGCUAAUACCGCAUAAUUUCAUUUACCGCAUGGUAGAUGGAUGAAAGGCGCUUUUGCGUCACUGAUGGAUGGACCCGCGGUGCAUUAGCUAGUUGGUGGGGUAACGGCCUACCAAGGCUGCGAUGCAU